CGGNNGAGAGNANCAAACAUGGAUUCCCCUAGUAGCGGCGAGCGAAGCGGGAUGAGCCCAGAUUUGAAAGCUCCCACCAGGGCGCAUUGUAACCUGGAGACGCACCUCGAGCAGUGCGGCCGGACCCAAGUCUGCUGGAAAGCAGCAUCAGAGAGGGUGAAAAUCCCGUGCUUGGCCUGGCUUGUGCUGUGUUGUGGGGUACGCUCGACGAGUCGCGUUGUUUGGGAAUGCAGCGCAAAGACGGGUGGUAAACGCCAUCCAAGGCUAAAUAUUGGGGAGAGACCGAUAGCGAACAAGUACCGUGAGGGAAAGAUGAAAAGAACUUUGGAAAGAGAGUUAAACAGUACGUGAAAUUGCCAAAAGGGAAGCGCUUGCAGUCAGUGCCGUAGUGCUUGUCGUUCUCCAGGUGUCUGCCUGGGUAUGCGGCUUGCAUGGGGCCCGCGGGAUGUUUCCGGUGGGGGAGAAGGCUGUGCGGAACGUGGCUCUUUCGGGAGUGUUAUAGCCGCGCAGUGGAUACCUUGCUGGGGACGGUCGCGGGCUUAAUGGCUGUCAGCGGCCCGUCUUGAAACACGGACCAAGGAGUCUAACAUGUGUGCGAGUAUGUGGGCGUCAACCCCGCAUGCGCAAUGAAAGUAAUUUUGGUGCGAUCCCUUACGGGUGCAGCACCGGCCGGCCCAGAGUGUACGCACAAAAGGGGUCUGAGCAAGAGCAGAUAUGUUGGGACCCGAAAGAUGGUGAACUUUGCUUGGCUAGGAUGAAGCCAGGGGAAACCCUGGUGGAGGUCCGUCGCGGUUCUGACGUGCAAAUCGAUCGUUUGAGCUGAGCAAAGGGGCGAAAGACUAAUCGAACCAUCUAGUA
This 858-nucleotide ribosomal RNA is filed under the name Moniliella acetoabutans. RNAcentral describes it as "LSU rRNA". It matches the Rfam family "Eukaryotic large subunit ribosomal RNA", at positions 51 to 949 of the family's 3401-position model. The record is from RNAcentral. Lineage: Eukaryota; Fungi; Basidiomycota; Moniliellomycetes; Moniliellales; Moniliellaceae.